GCCUGGGUGGUGAAAUUGGUAGACACGCUAGCUUCAGGUGCUAGUGAUCGCAAGGUCGUGGAGGUUCAAGUCCUCUCCCAGGCACCA
This 87-nucleotide transfer RNA is filed under the name Gammaproteobacteria bacterium. RNAcentral's name for it is "tRNA-Leu". It matches the Rfam family "tRNA". Rfam says of the family: Transfer RNA (tRNA) molecules are approximately 80 nucleotides in length. Lineage: Bacteria; Pseudomonadati; Pseudomonadota; Gammaproteobacteria. The record is from RNAcentral. RNAcentral also lists the same sequence under 1 other name.